UGGAGCAACGCCGCGUGCAGGAUGAAGGUCUUCGGAUUGUAAACUGCUUUUAUGAGUGACGAUUAUGACGGUAACUCAUGAAUAAGGAUCGGCUAAUUCCGUGCCAGCAGCCGCGGUCAUACGGAAGAUCCGAGCGUUAUCCGGAAUUACUGGGCGUAAAGAGAUGCGUAGGUGGUAUGUUAAGCGAAUAGUGAAAUCUUCUGGCUCAACCAGGAGACUGUUAUUCGAACUGACACACUAGAGUACGAGAGAGGAAGCUGGAAUUCCUGGUGUAGGAGUGAAAUCCGUAGAUAUCAGGAGGAACACCAAUGGCGAAGGCAGGCUUCUGGCUCGUUACUGACACUGAGGCUCGAAAGCGUGGGGAGCGAACGGGAUUAGAUACCCCGGUAGUCCACGCCGUAAACGAUGAAUGCUAGCUGUUCGAGGUAUCGACCCCUGGAGUAGCGAAGCUAACGCGUUAAGCAUUCCGCCUGGGGAGUACGGUCGCAAGACUAAAACUCAAAGGAAUUGACGGGGACCCGCACAAGCGGUGGAGCGUGUGGUUUAAUUCGAUGAUAAGCGUAGAACCUUACCAAGGUUUGACAUCCCGAGAAGGACUUCGAAAGAAGACUGUGCCUUUUGGAACUCGGUGACAGGUGAUGCAUGGCCGUCGUCAGCUCGUGUCGUGAGAUGUUGGGUUAAGUCCCGCAACGAGCGCAACCCUUAUGGUUAGUUGGAUUU
RNAcentral lists this ribosomal RNA (720 nucleotides) under uncultured bacterium. RNAcentral describes it as "bacterial SSU rRNA". It matches the Rfam family "Bacterial small subunit ribosomal RNA", at positions 387 to 1122 of the family's 1533-position model. The record is from RNAcentral.